CCAGGGGAAGGUUCGUCCGCCCUGGGUUAGUCGGGACCUAAGCUGAGGCCGAAAGGCGUAGGUGAUGGACAACAGGUUGAUAUUCCUGUACUACCGAUAACCAUUUGAGAGAAGGGAUGACACAGUAGGAUAAGCUAAGCACACUGUUGGUUAUGUGUGCCCAAGCAUUGAGGCAGUCAAAGUAGGCAAAUCCGCUUUGAUAAUG
Molecule: ribosomal RNA, 205 nt
Filed under: Clostridioides difficile
Lineage: Bacteria; Bacillati; Bacillota; Clostridia; Peptostreptococcales; Peptostreptococcaceae
Description: partial 23S ribosomal RNA
Rfam family: Bacterial large subunit ribosomal RNA
Source: RNAcentral